RNAcentral lists this ribosomal RNA (253 nucleotides) under uncultured bacterium. Its description in RNAcentral is "partial 16S ribosomal RNA". It matches the Rfam family "Bacterial small subunit ribosomal RNA", at positions 524 to 776 of the family's 1533-position model. The record is from RNAcentral.
CACGUAGGGGGCGAGCGUUGUCCGGAAUUAUUGGGCGUAAAGAGCUCGUAGGCGGUUUGUCGCGUCUGCUGUGAAAACUCGGGGCUUAACUCCGGGCCUGCAGUGGGUACGGGCAGACUAGAGUGCGGUAGGGGAGACUGGAAUUCCCGGUGUAGCGGUGAAAUGCGCAGAUAUCGGGAGGAACACCGGUGGCGAAGGCGGCUCUCUGGGCCUUACCUGACGCUGAGGAGCGAAAGCGUGGGGAGCGAACAGG